This is a long non-coding RNA of Helianthus annuus (common sunflower), 3068 nucleotides long. RefSeq lists it as uncharacterized. NCBI's taxonomy places the organism in Eukaryota, Viridiplantae, Streptophyta, Magnoliopsida, Asterales, Asteraceae. The transcript is spliced from 5 exons. The record is from RefSeq and is a predicted model, not a curated record.
UUGAUUUCCCUGUGGUGAAGAGUCAUGCGGGAUCCAUUCGCAUUCAUUCGGGUCGAAUUGGUUCUCAUAUAUAAACACAUAACCCGGCUUCCUCCUCACUUUUUCAUCUCGAAUUAGAGUUUCUUAAGCCUCUCUCCCUCUGCUCUCUAAGACUCUUCAUAUAGAUCUGCGUAUAAUCCAUCUAAUUCAAGGUUAGAUACUCCAUAUUGGAAUUAUAAAAUCACGAUGUUUAUCAUUUUUCACGGAGGUUUCUUCCAAAAACGACUCUGCAGUUUCUCCUCUCCAUUUAACUCAUUAGUUUCGUUUCUUUAAACGCUAAUCGAUUAUGCUUUGUCGAAGAACUGAAGAUGUCGAGGAAUAGAUUCAUGGUUUCAAUUUUAUCUCCGAAUGUGGAAUUCUUCGUCAAUGUCGCAACAUCUUUCAAUCGGACCACGAAAUAGCUGAUCUGACUUUAGGCGAUUGAAGUUUUCGUUUACAUAACGUGUGUUGUUGCCGCUUUGACCCGUUCCCUUGCAAUUGUUAAGAUUAAUCUAUGAUAACUGAGUAUUGGUAGUUAUAUUAAUGAUUCUGGAAUGUGAUAUAAUUUGGUGGCGCGCAUCUGACCGGUAAGAUUUGGGCUUUAUAAUUUCAUAAGAUAAUCCAUCUGUUGUUUCAUCAAUAAAUAUUACAUAUGUAGUAUAAAUAACAUGUUUUUGAAUGUUGAUAGGUUAUUUUAAAUAGCUGUUAUUUUCAUCGAGGGACUCGAACAUACCCGUUGAUUAAAGAUUUUUUGUGGUGUAAAGAAGUUGUAAAAUAAAGAUUUCAAGCAAUUUUAUUGCAGGUACCAGAUGAGGAAACCACAUUUAAUGCCCCCAAUAAGCAAGAACACAUGGACUAGAAUUUUAGAUUUCGUUUGACGUGAGCAGAGUUGGUAUUUUCAUAUCUGGCUGCUAUCAGUUCAUAUUAAAUUUUUAGACGAACUAAUUAUAAAAUAAAACCAAUGCUUUCCAAGCUUUCAUCAACCAAUGCAUGUGUAGUAACACCAAACACGACAUAUGUUUUAUCUCAUUUUUGUGUUGGAGCAAGAAAAGCAAGGUAUUGUUUUCUUGGUGUUUGAUAAAGACAACCCUAAGGGUUGUUUUUAAAGUUGAUUUUUAUGCUUUAUUAUAGUUUCACUAUAUGGUUAAUGGUUUUGGGUGGUUGAUGAUUGAUGGUUAAAGUAUCACCAUUUAACCGACGAUUUGAUCUCAGUUGAUGGUCGUAGGCUACAGUCCAUCACAUGGCAUAAAGGAAGAGGGGGAUGGUGGUUUUGAAAGUCGAUGGUAUCAGGUAAGUUUUGUCCAUGUUAUUACCGUAAAUUAUCAAUUUUAUUGCUCGAUCCAUGUAUGACGGUAAUCUAUUUAAAACGAUGAUUAUGUUGGAAAUCAUAAAGCAUAGAGAUGCUAUAGAUAUAUUGCAGCCAUGGAGGCCAUGAAAGAGGUUUCGGUUGCCGAAAGCAUGCUUCAAGGUAUAAGGUACAUAAUUUGUGGGUUUAGCUUACGAAUAUGUAAAAGCUACAAUCAUGUAUAUUGUAUUAGACCUGAUAACACUUUAUUAUUAGAACUCAGCUACUUCCAGGAAGCAUGGCAUUGUAAACUUGAGGAAGUUGAACCCGUUGAGUCGUUUAGGGUAAUAAAAAAUAUGCUAAUUGGUAUAAUAUGUUUCAUGAGUAGAUUCUUACUGUAAUAUUAUAUUAAUAUUAUUUUUAACCCAUUCAAUUGUGAUAAUAUUAUUUAAAAAAGGUCGAAAGUGCCCCAUGUGCAUUUAAGGCUCAUGUCUUGAAAUUAGUAUAAAUUUUUGCAAUACUAAUUAUUUUAGUAUUCUGGGUUUACCCAACCUGACCCGUUUUGAUGGGCACAAAACUAUUUGUUUUGACUCGACCAUUUUACCAAGAGUUUUAUGAUUGCAUGUAUUUUUACCAUCUUUUCUUCAGCCACCAUUCACACAUUCUAACACAAAGAAACUUCAGGAAAAGAUUGACAACUAAAAAGUGAAGUUGCUACCGUGGUUAAGUGGUGAAGCUCACUCUUUGCUUAAAGGGUUGUUGCAAAAGUACCCGACACUAAGGCUUGGAAGCUGGACUCGAGGUUGUCAUGAUAUCAAAAAUCAUAAAUGGGUCAACGAAAUAGCAAGUGAAUCUUAAAGAAAAACUGGUUUGAAGAUGGGUAUAAAUUUCAAAGCAGACUAGACUCACUUUAUCAGCACCAGAGAUGGACACCAUAUUUCUACUCAGGUUAAAUGGGCUCUUGAGUGGAAACAGGCGCUGACCUAGGAUGAAGUUGAGGAUGAGGUGCAUCUAAUUUUGGGGCUGCUGCAUAUUACGCAUAUUAAGGACGAGCUGGACAGGUUGGGUUGGCUGUACCGGGGAAUGUUGGCGGAGUUCACAUUAAAACAAAUCAGAUUUUAGUUUACUAGGGGUCCAAAUAAUAAUACGGGUCAUAACAGGUUCUACUGGAAUAAGAUUGCAGUUCCAAAAGUUAGUUGUUUUGUUUGGAUAGCGGUCAACGGCUAUGGCCUUUGUGGCGAGGGCCGUUGAGAUGGGAAAUGUCCCAUGUAUGGUAUACGGGAUGAGACUGUAGAUCAUUUACUUGCAGGUUGUAUAAGUGCUAGAGCGAUAUGUUGGAGCAUGCUCUUAAAAUGAACAAACCAGCAAAGGAGAACCUAUUAUCUAUAUGUUUUUCUUAAUGACCAUUUGGAAGAUGUGUACGCGUCGAAAUGACAAGGCUUUUAGAGAAAAAGUAUGUCCUGAUGCAAAAGUUUUGUUAGAGGAAAAGUCUGUUCUUGAUGACCAUUUGGAAGAUGCGGACGCGUCAAAGUGCGGGUCUGUCCUUGAAUAGCUGGAGCAAUUUUGAUGUUGGUUUAUAACGUUCAUGCGGGUUUUAGCAUUAUUUUUUUUUUUUGGAUUAUGUAAGUUUAUUUUUUUUGAGUUUUUUUGGGUUGUAUGCUCUAUCUUAGCUUCUGGCUAAGAUAGAGUUUGUGAGGUUCUUAAAUAAAUUUGUCUCCUUUGCUUAGGCAAAAAUAAUGUUAUUAAGUUUUAUGUUUGUUAUUAA